This 1674-nucleotide long non-coding RNA is filed under the name Manihot esculenta (cassava). Its description in RNAcentral is "long non-coding RNA (MESC_LNC005706)". Lineage: Eukaryota; Viridiplantae; Streptophyta; Magnoliopsida; Malpighiales; Euphorbiaceae. The record is from RNAcentral.
UUUCCUCUUAUAAACUCAUUAAUCUACCGAAAUGGAGCAAGUGGGUUUGGACUACGAGGAACUUUCAGUCUGCUGAGCUCUCUGCACACCUGAUCCAACAUCCCUAGAAAGUCUCUAACAAUAACAAAAAUACGAAGUGGGUUUGCUUCUUCUUUGCUCACAUCUCCAUGAAAGUACUCUGUAAUUUCUCUAACAUGUAAUAGUACUCUGUGUUCAUCUUCUUGCAACUCCUUCAGAUUCCUUUCUGCAUAAUUUAUGAAUGUUUUCAUUGAAUGAACAAAGCUUCCACUCUUUUCAUCUUCGGACAAGUCCUUGAUUAUUAAAUGUUGCAGUUUAGACAUUCCUUCAGAAAGGUUAGAGACUGAGCUUGCAAGAACAUCCAAAUCAAUUGUAGCUGUUUUCUUGACAUUAUAGAGUUCUGUACUUAGACCUGAAACAAGCUCUAAACCCAUUCUUCUGUAAUCUUCUUCUCUUUGUUCAUUUGUCUUGCUUCUGUUCUUCUGACUGAUUCUUCCCAUAAUACUGUCUGAAACUCGAACCCCUUCUGUUCGAAUUAUUUCUUGGACUACAAAAUGGAGUAAGCUAGUUUUGCCAUCUGUUCCUUUCACAUCAGCAAGUUUAAGAAGAGCAUCAAGCUUGAAUGCCUUAGCACCACCUCUAAUUGUUCCAACGUUCAUACGGUUUCCUGUUUUGAGUACUGCUUCAAGUAACUUCAAGAAAAGUCUACUUGAUCUGAGUUCUUUGCAGGCAUCCUAAUGAAAAGCAGAAUAAGGGACGGACAUAAGUAGAGUUGAAUUAUACUAGGAUACACUAUAGAGUUAUUCAAAUAACCUACAUGCACAGUCUCUAUGCACAUAAGCUGUUUGAGGAUAUUCCUAACAGUAAGUAUAAAUAUAAGCAUACAACUGAUUUGGUGUGCGAUUUGAUCAGUUACCUCCAGCAUUGAGAAGGAAUUUCUCAGAUGAACCACCUCAUCUUCAAAAGUUUCUCUAUAAAGCAUUGCUUCAACUCUUAGAAAGGCAAAUGGUAUGGUAAGUGCUAAUUUAACAAACUUUUCUGCAGGUCCCAAUUCAUUGAUGUCUCCUGUAUAGUCUGCAAGCUUAGCCUCUUCUUCCUUGGUGGGUACCAUCUUUGUCAGCGCCUCUAGUUGUUGUAAACUCAAGCCAUCCCCUGCUUUCCACAGUUCAAAUAAUAUUAGUUUCCGUUUUGCUUCUGCUCCAAAUUCAUUGUCAUAUUUUAUAAAACUCUGUGAAGAUUUCUAAGCUAUUACCUCUUAUUAAUGCUUCACAUACUUGCUCAGGAGUUGCAUUCAAGGCUUUUGAGAGUAUGGUUAAGUUCUGCAGUCUCUUUGGCUCUAGGACAUGUUUGUUUGGGCAUGGGGUUUUACUCUUUUCUUCAUCAUUCUUCAUUGUAACUUGUAAAUUAUAUCCAAAAAGUGAUUCAAUCAUCUCCUCGUCCAACCUGUUUUGCAAAUCACUGAUUGGUGAACUCCAAUCAGAAGUGUAAAUAUAUUGAUGAAAAUGAGGCAGGACUUACUCGAAUGAGCUUGACCUUAUCUUGUCCCACACCAUACUACGAUCAGGUGCAGCUCUAACUUUGUCCCAAUGAAGAGGCUUUAAUUUUGGCAGUGGAACUCUAGCUUUGCCCUGUGAAUAUUGAGGAAGCUGAGACGGU